Molecule: ribosomal RNA, 520 nt
Filed under: uncultured bacterium
Lineage: Bacteria
Description: bacterial SSU rRNA
Rfam family: Bacterial small subunit ribosomal RNA
Source: RNAcentral
AGAGUUUGAUCCUGGCUCAGAUUGAACGCUGGCGGCAUGCCUUACACAUGCAAGUCGAACGGUAACAGGUCUUCGGAUGCUGACGAGUGGCGAACGGGUGAGUAAUACAUCGGAACGUGCCCGAUCGUGGGGGAUAACGGAGCGAAAGCUUUGCUAAUACCGCAUACGAUCUACGGAUGAAAGCAGGGGACCGCAAGGCCUUGCGCGGACGGAGCGGCCGAUGGCAGAUUAGGUAGUUGGUGGGAUAAAAGCUUACCAAGCCGACGAUCUGUAGCUGGUCUGAGAGGACGACCAGCCACACUGGGACUGAGACACGGCCCAGACUCCUACGGGAGGCAGCAGUGGGGAAUUUUGGACAAUGGGCGCAAGCCUGAUCCAGCCAUGCCGCGUGCAGGAUGAAGGCCUUCGGGUUGUAAACUGCUUUUGUACGGAACGAAAAGACUCCUUCUAAUAAAGGGGGUCCAUGACGGUACCGUAAGAAUAAGCACCGGCUAACUACGUGCCAGCAGCCGCGGUAAUA